CUGGUUUUCUUCUGCGGUGGUUGUGCUCCUGUUUGUUUUCCUCACCCUUGCCCCCACCUGGACCACUGGACCUUCUCCAAAUAAACCCUGUUGGAUCUACCAAGCCAAGAGUCCUCUUGUGUAUCUGGAGGAAUCCUGCUGUGAGGAAUGCUCCCAGCUCAGAUAUAAGCCAAGCAACUGUUGGAAAGAGUAGUGAUGACAGGACAGUACCAGGAGACCUAAGUGUUGUACCUCAAAUCAACUGUGAGUAGCAGAAUCUCCAGAUCCUGGGAUGAUUUUUGUUGGAAGAGACUUUUAAGAAUAUCUAGACCCAUUGCCUGCCACGAGAAGGUACACAUUCCACUAGACCAAGUUGCUCCAAGCCCUGUCCAGCUUAGCCUUGAACACCUUGCAGGGUUGGGGCAGCCACAGCUUCACUGGGCAACCUGUGCCAGAGCCUCCCAACCCUCACAGGGAAGAAUUUCUUAAAAGCCUCUAAUCUUACCCUGUCCUCUGUCAGUGGGGAGCCAUUUCUCUUUGUCCUGGCACUGUAUGGCCUUGUUUAAAGUUCUUUUCCAGCCCUCUUGGAGCCUUUUUAGAUACUGAAAGGUUGUUAAAGGUCUCCCUGGAGCCUGCAAUUCUCCAAGCUGAAUAACUCCAACUCUCUCAGCCUGUCUCCAUAGCAGCGGUGCUCCAGCUGUUGGAUCAUCCUCGUGGCCUCCUAUGAAUGUUCCAGAUCCCAUCCAGCCUUUUAGUGUUCUUUCGGAUGCUGUCAGCUAGUUGACUUGUAGAUAACAAGAUGUGUCUCCCACACAUAGCCCAGUAAACUUUCUAGAAAAACUCCAGAUACAAUUAUCUGUUGAAGUGCACUGCUUAUUUAACUUGGUACUGUGGACAAGGAACAAUAACUCAUAACUCAAACAGAGAAUAUUAUGGUUGUGCAAACUCUAGUGCUUUUAUUUACUGGUUGUUACAUUGCUACAUUUUUUUGAAAUUUCAUUCGUUCUCUGCUCAGUAACUUCCUGACUUGACCUUAAGAGAUUUGUGCCAAAUUUAUACAGAUCUGUGUAUUUGUGCAUGGCAUUACUAGAGAAAUCAAAAUGCCCACACAGAAAUAAGGCAGAUGUGAGAGAGAAAUAUAGAAUAGUUGUGGUUCUCCUGCAGUCAUGGAGUGGUGGAAUGCCACCUAACAAGCUCCCUGGGUGACCGGAGGGACACACGAGAGGCUUUCCCUGAACGUCUUCCGAGGCUUCUCAGUUGGCAGUGCGUGCAGCAGCGUGGCUGACGCUGCAGCAAGUCACCACAAGAAUACUGAGAUAAAAAGUCAAAGGAUAGGACAUUCAUUUGUAGUCCAAGACAGCAUUACUCCAAGGAUGGGUGAGGGACAGGUGACACGGAACAGGGAGUCUGGCUAGGGUUUUUAAAGGGAGCUUGCUAGGGGGUGGGAAUCUCACACAACCAAUGGGGAAACACUUGGGGAGGAGUAUCGAGCUUAACAGAACCAAUAGGGUCAGUACAGGGGAGGGGAGAAGCCUUGAGGACAAAUUAACUGUUAGAACAAGGGUGAUUGUCAUCAAACAUUCUGGAACAAAAUGGGUGGCUCUGGGCUGACAGACAAGAGAAGGGGAUAGCACAAUUAGGAUUGACAGGGCCAUACAAGGGAAGGAGGGAAGGAACAGGGAGAUAGACACACUGAGUGGCAGCUAAGUGUUGGGAAAACUUAGGAGUAAACUACUUGGGAGAAACCAUUUUGAGGGGAUAAAAUGGGGGUACAUGGACCAAACCAAUGUACUUAACUAACAUUGAACCACUAACUUUUACAAUAAAACAACUGUAAAACUUACAAAAACAUACUGCUACGGGUAGUGACAAAGACAAUGCCACUUCAUGGAGUUCCUGCUGGUCAUUAAGAAGAUCUUGUCAAAUAUAUUCUAAUCCCAAACAAAUCUCAUUGAUGUUUAUGCUUGCUGUGAUUCUGAAGCCAACAUAGAUGUAUACACUGACAUCUGUCACUGACCUGACUGGUAGCUGUGUUUGGUCCAGAGUUAUCUGCCAAGCAGGGGGAAAACCUCCGCCCUGGGAGGAUGUUGGCAUCACCUUCAGCAGAACUUCACAGAGAAGUGGUCAUCAAAAAUACACUGAAAAGCCUGAAAACCUUGUUAAAAAUCCUAAAAUAGCAAUAUGUUUUGUCAAGUGCAGUCAGGUCUGCUUAAUCACAAUUUGUUUGCCAACAUCCAAU
This is a long non-coding RNA of Passer montanus (Eurasian tree sparrow), 2218 nucleotides long. RefSeq lists it as uncharacterized. The transcript has 3 exons. The record is from RefSeq and is a predicted model, not a curated record. Lineage: Eukaryota; Metazoa; Chordata; Aves; Passeriformes; Passeridae.